AUCAUUUUUUUUGUGGAUAUUGGAAAGUCAUCUUCAUCUUCACUUUCCUCCCAUACCCACGUGAAACCCUCACUUUUAUUCUCUCUUAUCAUUAUUUUCCCUUCUUGGUUCCACAUCCUCACCCAUUCUUGAUGACCUCUUUUCUUCCUCCAAGGCUCACAUGUCUGGUACUUUCUUGAAUUCAUCUUCAGUGCUCAAAUCUUCGCGCACUCUAGGCACUUGAACACGAUUUGAGGAGAUGGAACCAUAUCUUUUGUCACUCUUUCUCGAAACAUCAUAGUUGUCAUGUCCCCGUUUCUUGUCCUCUGCCAUCCUCAUUUCCUCUUCAUAAAAGCUUCUUCUUCUCCAUUCUCUUCAGCCUCACGUCCAGCUUCAUCUUUUGGGGCCUUCUUUGAGUUACUCUUAUUGUUGUUGGGUUUGUUGCCAUACUCUUCUCUUUCUUCAGAUGACAAGUCCUAUUCGCCUUCUUCAAGUCCACCAUCUUCAUCAUCUCCCUCGGCAUCAGUUGGCUUAGAUUGACACAGAGUGUGAGGAUCUUCUUUUAUACCAGUUCCAUUGUUCGGUAUAAACACAAGGGGAUCCAGAGUUUAGAGCAGAGCUGAGAGCAGCAAAGCGGCACCGGCGGGGGGUGUCUCGAGGAUGUUAGCCUGCUCAAGUUCGAGGUCGGUGAGCUGCUGGUCGUGGUCCAUCUCGAUGAUGAGGGGAGGGGAACGACGAGGAUGAGGAAGUUGGUGCUAAAGAUCCAGAGGGCCUUGUCGGUGCUCUUCACAGGGUUAGUGACGAUGAAUGACGUGUCGGAGGUAUACUGCUUGCUGAGGGUGACAAUUUUGGAUUAGGAGAUCUUGGCCAGGAUUGUUACAAGCUAUGGUUCAGCUGCCUCGAAAGACAUGAUCCAGAAUUGCAUGGCACAAGAUCUUUCCUGGAAGGAACCUUCGAAACAAUGGGAAAAGAUGUUGUUGAGCCUCGAAAUAGCUGGCAGCGAACCUGGCUUUGAAAGGGAAGAGAUUGCUCCUCUUGCCAUGGAAAAUGUUCCUUGAGCAUUAGUAUCCAUUAGUGCUGUAACUAUAAAUUGGUUGCGAGUAAGAGAGUGAUGUGUGAUGGUGCAAAUAUCUCAGGUUAUAUAUCUAAAAUGGAUCAUGAUUGAAGGUGAACGAUGUUUGAGAUGUGAAGUAAUGAAUCUGAUGCGUCCUUGUUGCGAUCAUGGGAGCUGAAGAACAAGAUUUUCGGAUCCUGCUUGUUUUCAUAUAGGAGUGUGUUGAUAAAUAAUGUAAUAAUCAUAUGAGGUGCUCGGAUCCACUCGGCUCCAGCUUAUGUUUUAAUGCUUUUUUUUUGUAGGAUUUUGACAACAAUUUGAGAGUCGUGGUUGAUCUAGCCAUUCGACUGCUU
This is a long non-coding RNA of Argentina anserina (silverweed cinquefoil), 1386 nucleotides long. RefSeq lists it as uncharacterized. Lineage: Eukaryota; Viridiplantae; Streptophyta; Magnoliopsida; Rosales; Rosaceae. The record is from RefSeq and is a predicted model, not a curated record. The transcript has 2 exons.